This is a long non-coding RNA of Acanthopagrus latus (yellowfin seabream), 295 nucleotides long. RefSeq lists it as uncharacterized. The record is from RefSeq and is a predicted model, not a curated record. The transcript has 3 exons. Lineage: Eukaryota; Metazoa; Chordata; Actinopteri; Spariformes; Sparidae.
UUAAAGGCACAUUUUGAGACUGGAUUCCAGGAUUACAGGACACCUUUUAGUUCCAGUGGAGGAGGCAGUGUAUUGUAGUGUAUGUGGCACGACAGAGAGUGCGAGGUACUUAACAAGGGUGAAGUGCGUCUGACUUCAUGCAAGGCCGAAGUCCACCAAAGAUCUACAACCAACAGAGGAUAAUCUUAAUGGUAACAGUGGAACAACUGGAAUAACUGUGGAAACUCUACAGUGCGAGAGAAAAACAACCCGCUGAUGGAGUACGCAAAGACGAGCACGGCACUGAUGUCCAAAG